CGGUAUUAAAAAUGACUACCAGAAAUUUGGUUCCUCCUGAAAUUUCCGAUAAACAUAUUUUGUGAGCAAAACUUACUUUUUCGGAAAAUAUAAAUUGGGGGGUACAGUUUCCAACUUUCUGGAUAUUAUUGUACUAGAAUUAGGAGUGUUCAGGGUGCAAAAACUACACUGUACUAUAUUAAUAGUUUGGUUCAGUUUUUAAAAAUCACUUUCGAAUUAAG
Molecule: long non-coding RNA, 221 nt
Filed under: Cicer arietinum (chickpea)
Lineage: Eukaryota; Viridiplantae; Streptophyta; Magnoliopsida; Fabales; Fabaceae
Description: long non-coding RNA (CARI_LNC000730)
Source: RNAcentral